This 228-nucleotide unclassified non-coding RNA is filed under the name Hevea brasiliensis (rubber tree). Lineage: Eukaryota; Viridiplantae; Streptophyta; Magnoliopsida; Malpighiales; Euphorbiaceae. The record is from RNAcentral.
AAUAACUUGUUAGUUGUUGAGUGAAAUAAUUUAGAGUACCACUUCCUAGCAUAUCAGCUUCUUUCUCUUGAUGCAUUUCCGGCAGCUUUUCAAAUGUUUUAUAUUCAAUGCAUGCCUGUGAACUGGCUGCCACUGCAAAACUGAAAAUUUUGUAAAUAUAUGGUAUAUAUUCAUAUAAAUGUGAAGAAUAUGUUGGUUUUCAUGAUGAGAUCAACUUGGCAUUCAAAU